AAAUUUAAUACCUAGAAACAGACUAAUACAUACUGUAAUGUAUCUUUUGUUGUGCUUGAACUAGCAGUCGCCUUAGAUUUGCCUAUAAUAGAAAUACACUCUCUACAUUCCCAAACAGGAUUAGCCCAUUUAAGCUGUCCACAAGCCAUGUGAGUUCCUUGUGAACCACAAGUUCGACAAAGAGCUAAUUCCCAUUUCCUGCCAAAUUACAAUUACAACAUAUAAAAAAUGAGAAAUUAAAAUCUUUAGU
RNAcentral lists this unclassified non-coding RNA (250 nucleotides) under Bombus terrestris (buff-tailed bumblebee). RNAcentral describes it as "misc RNA ENSBTSG00005030869.1". Lineage: Eukaryota; Metazoa; Arthropoda; Insecta; Hymenoptera; Apidae. The record is from RNAcentral.